RNAcentral lists this ribosomal RNA (735 nucleotides) under uncultured Fusobacterium sp. Its description in RNAcentral is "bacterial SSU rRNA". It matches the Rfam family "Bacterial small subunit ribosomal RNA", at positions 28 to 776 of the family's 1533-position model. The record is from RNAcentral. Lineage: Bacteria; Fusobacteriati; Fusobacteriota; Fusobacteriia; Fusobacteriales; Fusobacteriaceae.
GAUGAACGCUGACAGAAUGCUUAACACAUGCAAGUCUACUUGAAUUUGGGUUUUUAACUUAGAUUUGGGUGGCGGACGGGUGAGUAACGCGUAAAGAACUUGCCUCACAGCUAGGGACAACAUUUAGAAAUGAAUGCUAAUACCUAAUAUUAUGAUAAUAGGGCAUCCUAUAAUUAUGAAAGCUAUAUGCGCUGUGAGAGAGCUUUGCGUCCCAUUAGCUAGUUGGAGAGGUAACAGCUCACCAAGGCGAUGAUGGGUAGCCGGCCUGAGAGGGUGAUCGGCCACAAGGGGGCUGAGACACGGCCCUUACUCCUACGGGAGGCAGCAGUGGGGAAUAUUGGACAAUGGACCGAGAGUCUGAUCCAGCAAUUCUGUGUGCACGAUGAAGUUUUUCGGAAUGUAAAGUGCUUUCAGUUGGGAAGAAAGAAAUGACGGUACCAACAGAAGAAGUGACGGCUAAAUACGUGCCAGCAGCCGCGGUAAUACGUAUGUCACGAGCGUUAUCCGGAUUUAUUGGGCGUAAAGCGCGUCUAGGUGGUUAUAUAAGUCUGAUGUGAAAAUGCAGGGCUCAACUCUGUAUUGCGUUGGAAACUGUAUAACUAGAGUACUGGAGAGGUAAGCGGAACUACAAGUGUAGAGGUGAAAUUCGUAGAUAUUUGUAGGAAUGCCGAUGGGGAAGCCAGCUUACUGGACAGAUACUGACGCUGAAGCGCGAAAGCGUGGGUAGCAAACAGG